GACGAACGCUGGCGGCGCGCCUAACACAUGCAAGUCGAACGAGCGAGCGAGACCUUGCUUUCUUGAGCGAGUGGCGAACGGGUGAGUAACGCGUGAGGAACCUGCCCCUAAGAGGGGGACAACAGUUGGAAACGACUGCUAAUACCGCAUAAGACCACGUUGCCCCAUGGCACAGAUGGAAAAGGAGCAGUCUGCUUUGAGAUGGCCUCGCGUCCGAUUAGCUGGUUGGUGGGGUAACGGCCCACCACGGCGACGAAGGGUAGACGGACUGAGAGGUUGAACGGCCACAUUGGGACUGAGACACGGCCCAGAAUCCUCCGGGAGGCAGGAGUGGGGAAUAUUGCAGCAUGGGGGAAGACCUGAUGCAGCGACGCCGCGUGGAGGAAGAAGGUCUUCGGAUUGUAAACUCCUGUUGUUGGGGAAGAUAAUGACGGUACCCAAUAAGGAAGUAACGGCUAACUACGUG
This 466-nucleotide ribosomal RNA is filed under the name uncultured bacterium. RNAcentral describes it as "partial 16S ribosomal RNA". It matches the Rfam family "Bacterial small subunit ribosomal RNA", at positions 28 to 507 of the family's 1533-position model. The record is from RNAcentral.